ACGGGCCUGGGAACGACGACCCCUCGCACGAAAGAAACCUCACGACCGAGGCUACCCUCAUCUAUUCGCUACAACGACGGCAGCCAUGCCGCCGCCGCCACCGCGAUCCCUGAAACGCCGCCGAUCUAUUCGCUACAUCGACGGAAAUCAGGCGCUAGCCACGGAUCCCUUUGCCGGCGCCGAGCAGUCAUCGAGGAGUCGGCGCCGAUGUCCUAAAGGAGGCGCCGCCACCAUCGUUGCAGGCCUCCAGGUCGCCAUCGGGACACCGCUGCCGAGAUCCGCCUUCGCCUUCGUCCGGCAGAGGCGGCGGAAGGCAGCCGGGAGGGGAAGCGCACAACGACCCGGAAGACAUCCGCCCUCACGCGCUCAUCGUCUUGUUCGAUCUACCCGAGGGCUGCCGAUGGGCGCCUCGGCGGCGGCCACGGCGAGAUCUGCGUCUGGGACGUGACAAUCCCUCCACCCCGGUCGCCGGUGAGAUUUCACUCCCAGUUUAUCAGGUCGUCCCUGACAAAGAGAUGCUACUGCCGGGCACGUGCACGCACGUGGGGCGGCCGCCUGCGAGCGGGGCCGCGUCCUCUCUCCUUCGUCGACCAUGGCCUCCGAACCACUCCGUUGAGCGGUACCUCUGCGCCCAAGUGUCCGCUCCUCGAUCUUAAACAGAUUUGUUAUCUCCUCUCUUCCGUUGCAGGUCAAUCCCAAUUUGAUUUCUUAUCUGCUAUAUUGCAUUUGUUCUCCCAAAUGGGUCAGCGUGCCUUCUGUGUCAAAAUUUGGAGAUGUAGUUCUGAAAACCAGUGAACAAGGAGAAAUUUGGAGAUGUAGUUCUAAAACCAGUGAACAAGAAGCACAUGGGUGCCGCUCAAUGCUCUACUAUUGAAAGUUGGUGUGGUUGUUUGUCAGUAAAACUUAUCUGUAGUCAAGUCAUACCCAGCCCGUUGACCAUCAUCCGAAUGCUUCUGAUAAUAACCAAGUGUUUUCUAUUGAAUAUGUUACAAUCCAUUCUGAAGCAAACUGAGUUACUAGCAGUUUAAGAAGAUGUUAUACACCUGACUGACGAAGAUCUUUUUUAUAUCCACAAGGCAUUUCAUGACGAUCCAAGUAUAUUGCUGAUCAAAUAGAAAAUAUGUAAUUUUCUGUUUCGGUAAUAAACGGGCAAUUCAAUGUAUAGUUGGGGCAGCCUGAUUUCCUCUUACACAUGCCUGCUAGCAGCAGCAGUUACGACCAGGCGGUUGCGGCCUGACUUGGCGGCUCUUCCUUUUUGUUUUGUGUUUGAAUCAGAUUUGGCGGUCUCGAUUUUACAGGCAUGUGUUGAUCUUGGUCUUGUUCUGUAUGCAGGUAGGGUACACUUGAUGUUUCAUGUUUGGUGAAAGAAAAGGAGCUUCCUAUGUUGAUUUCGGGCAAGACAUACAUUCUGCCAUGCAUUAGUAGAUCAAUUGCUUCUCUGUGUAGGGGAACGAUUAGCGAUUGAAUCUCUCUGUCUCGUUUCUUGAUUAUCCAAUUAAUUUACCCUCAUCUAUGCAUAAAUUGGUCCGAUUGAGUUAUGCCAUUUUUCUAAUAAUCUAUAUUGGUUCUAUAUAUGACUAGAACAAUAUGAUACGAUGCACAUCGGUCCGCUUUACUGGCAGCUAUCUUUCAAGAUGGAGGGGAGGCACUCGUGUGGACCUGCUCAAUGUUCGAGGAGAUACGGCUGACUAAACAAGGUUAUUUUGAAGUUCUUUGUGGUUCAUGUUAGCUAUCUAUCAGUAAUAGUACAACCUUGAUUUUUAUGUCGUUCAGGUUUACCUAACAUUCAGUAACAUUACUUUCCAUUGGAGACUUCUUACAGGAGGUGCUUAUAAAAUGAUGGUUGAACAUGUACAGAUUUUGGAUCACGAUCAUCUAUUUACCAGGCAUCAGUUAACUCAAGGCAUCGACCAAAAUCUAGCAUUCUUUGUUGUGUGCACCAUGGAGAAGACAAAGAACAGAGAUUGUGUGAUAUAUCCGAUAGCGCAAUAUAAUUUUCUCUUGCAUAUUUAUAAUCUGCCAUUUGAAUGAUGUUUUCUAUGUUGUAGUCAAAUCAAGACAAUUUGCAACUUUGGUGUUGUGACGUUGGAGGCCGUGCUCAACAGCAAUGGGGGACUGUUCGUUGAUGCCCGACCCAUGAUGCCGGCGAAGGAAUGAGAGUCGACGAGGAGUGGACACCAUGGGUUUGUGAACUGGCGAAGCCUCCGUUGUCCGUUUGGUAAUGUCCGACGCAUCAGAGGCAUAGUAUGACUUGCCCCGAUUAUGAUGUCGUCUACAAACAUCCGACGGAGGGGAACCCGUCCCAGUUUCCAUCUUGAUGUUUCAGUUGUUGAGCUCUGCACUAUAAAACCGAGAAAUACCCAAGGCUUUUUACAGACUACAAAUAGAGGGAAGUUUGCAUGUGCCUUACUAGAGACAGAUGAACCAAUAAAAUGAUUGGAAAGGUUCUUCCCAAGCAAAAGAUUACCUAUGAUGAAAAUUACAUUCUCUGCGGGCGCUGAUUCAGAUAUAUUACUAUGGGCAAAGGAAGUUCAAAAUUUAUCUCAAUCAAACAUGUGCAAAGGAAAAUUCAAAAUUUGUUAUGUCAGGAAAAGAUUCUUAAACCAGUGAAGUAUCUAGAGGGCUUAUUAGGACACUGCUCAUAUUGUUUGAUACUUUACCAUCUGGGGAUUAGGCUAUCGGUGAACACGACAAUGCGGCUGUUGGUCACGGAUGCCGGGGGCGUGAGCGGGGUUGAGGAGCUCACAUGGUGCUAUACAUGACGACCUGCGAGUGGUGGCAGGAGGUGGCAUGCCUGCUGCUUGGCUGGAAGUCCGACAUGAACUCCCACGACCGACUGUAAGCAUGGUUGUGAAGACCUUCCAGCAUUACCCCAGGAAGCUAACACAUCAGCUUGUGCCAUACGUGGUGUUUUCUUGUUGAUGAAUGUUGGUCUAGGUAAUUUCUUUGAUGAACCAUGUGACAAUUAAUAAAGUUAAUAAAGGACAUCAUACUCUUUUUGUCUGCCUUGAUCGCAGUGGGGCGGGGGUGAGCCGUUGGAGAGAGAGGCGGGGCAGUGGUGCAUGCGUGCAGUGCGUCUGGACGACAGAAUGCAUGAUCGAGUGAUCGGUGUGGUGGUUGGCGGUGCUUGGGCAUUGAUGUUCGAUUUGAGAGGAAGAAGAAAGAUUAGCUGCUGAUUUUGGGGGGAAGAAGAGAGAUUGAGCGUGUUGUUGUUGUCGUGUGUGGUCUUGGGAGAGGAAUAAAAGAGAGUAGUAAAGAGCUGUAGAGAGAUAGCGAGGGAUUGAGAGGCUACUACUAUUUUUAUUGUUGUCGAUGCUUGCACAAUGCUAUUUCUUAUUAUACUGGGGUAUUCAUCUUUGGACUAAAAACAAUCAUCCCCCCCCCCCCUCAAUAUUUUAGUCAUGACUUAGUUUUACUUA
Molecule: long non-coding RNA, 3419 nt
Organism: Triticum aestivum (bread wheat)
Lineage: Eukaryota; Viridiplantae; Streptophyta; Magnoliopsida; Poales; Poaceae
Exons: 5
Source: RefSeq, a predicted model, not a curated record